GUGUCAGCCGCCGCGGUAAUACGAAGGGGGCUAGCGUUGUUCGGAAUUACUGGGCGUAAAGGGCGCGUAGGCGGCGUCGAUAGUCGGGUGUGAAAUGCCUGGGCUCAACCCGGGAAUGGCACUCGAAACUUCGAUGCUUGAGUGUGGGAGAGGAUAGUGGAAUUCCCAGUGUAGAGGUGAAAUUCGUAGAUAUUGGGAAGAACACCAGUGGCGAAGGCGGCUAUCUGGACCACAACUGACGCUGAGGCGCGAAAGCGUGGGGAGCAAACAGGAUUAGAUACCCGAGUAGUCC
This 292-nucleotide ribosomal RNA is filed under the name uncultured bacterium. Its description in RNAcentral is "partial 16S ribosomal RNA". It matches the Rfam family "Bacterial small subunit ribosomal RNA", at positions 505 to 796 of the family's 1533-position model. The record is from RNAcentral.